This 92-nucleotide ribosomal RNA is filed under the name Plasmodium vivax Brazil I. RNAcentral also lists the same sequence under 1 other name. Lineage: Eukaryota; Apicomplexa; Aconoidasida; Haemosporida; Plasmodiidae. The record is from RNAcentral.
UCGUUCAUACUACAGUGGCCACACCAGAUCCCAUCAGAACUCUGAAGUUAAGCACUGUAAGGCUUGGCCAGUACUGAGGUGGGAGACCGCUC